GCACUAAGCCCUCAGAAUCACUCCCAAAGUUCCUACCCUCCUAAUGUCAUUACCCUACAGGUCAGAUGUCAACAUAUGAAUUUUGUGCAUCUGUCCCCAGAUGGGUCUCAUCCCUCUCAAACUCCCUUUCUUCUCCCUCAAACCUAUUCCUCCUCCUGACUUCCUCACCUCAUUUAAGUCUACAGUCCUCUCAGCAAAUCCCCUUAGAACCAUUCUUGUCUCUUCCCCCUGACCUCCUAAUCUACAUUUGAUCAGAGUCUAACACUUGUCCAUUCUUUCUCUUUAAUACCCCCAUCACACACACACACACACACACACACACAGAGGAUUUAUUAAAAAUAAUUAACCCAUGUGUUUAUGGAGGGAAGGUCUUGUUUGACCUCCUUCUUCCCUCCGCCCCAGUUUUAUAUAAAUGAGAAAAUUAAGGCCCAGAAAACAAAUGACUAACUAAAUCAAAGAGAUGCAGCUUAAUACAAGGAAAGUUUCAGGUCAAAUCUGCAACCUGUAGGCAUGCUCUAUCUUCUUUGCAGCUCUCUUUAGCAAGUCUGCCUAACAAUUUCUGGAACUGUCCCAGGAGGGGAAAAUGGAAACAAUUAAACCUUGACAAAUGACAGCUUCAUCAGAUGUGAUCUAAACACAAAGAACUAUAAGGAACUCAACUGCUGAAACUCUUCGAUAACAUCAAGGAAAAGGAGUCAUUUCACAUAAAUCUCAGGGAUGAUGUCAUCUAAACAUACAAGUAGUUAGUGGAAGUUCCAACUCAUCAUGAAGGAAAUGAUUCUUAUAAAUAGUUUGAUCUGGAGAUACUGUUUGGCGUCUUAAAAAUCAUAGACUCUG
This 837-nucleotide long non-coding RNA is filed under the name Marmota monax (woodchuck). The record is from RNAcentral. Lineage: Eukaryota; Metazoa; Chordata; Mammalia; Rodentia; Sciuridae.